This 174-nucleotide transfer RNA is filed under the name Helianthus annuus (common sunflower). Its description in RNAcentral is "hypothetical non coding rna". The stretch from base 2 to 74 matches the Rfam family "tRNA". The record is from RNAcentral. Lineage: Eukaryota; Viridiplantae; Streptophyta; Magnoliopsida; Asterales; Asteraceae.
GGGGUGUAUAGCUUAGUUGGUAGAGCAUUGGGCUUUUAACCUAAUGGCCGCAGGUUCAAGUCCUGCUAUACCCAAAUGCAAAAGGUACGCCGUUAGAGUGAGUGCGCUUGACUAAUAUAGAAAGUCAAGGCUCUAAGCUCCGCUCCUUCGACUGAUUGUUCGCAUCGGAUCUCG